This 389-nucleotide ribosomal RNA is filed under the name Candidatus Bathyarchaeota archaeon. Its description in RNAcentral is "partial 23S ribosomal RNA". It matches the Rfam family "Archaeal large subunit ribosomal RNA", at positions 2643 to 2987 of the family's 2987-position model. The record is from RNAcentral. Lineage: Archaea; Thermoproteati; Candidatus Bathyarchaeota.
AGGCUGCUCGCCUAUUAAAAGGGAACGUGAGCUGGGUUUAGACCGUCGUGAGACAGGUCGGACUUUAUCUGCUGGGAGUGCUGGCUGCCUGAGGGGAAAGGGUCCCUAGUACGAGAGGAACGGGACGCUGUGGCCACUAGUUAACCGGUUGUCCGACAGGGCAGACGCCGGGCAGCCACGCCGCUGAGGAUAAGGGCUGAAAGCAUCUAAGCCCGAAGCCUCUCCCGAAAAUAGGCAGCCAUUCCCCAUAAAUGCUGGGCUGGCAACAGCUUGGCUUUGGGGACGAGGGCUCCCAUAAAAGAUGGGUUUGAUGGAGCCGGGGUGUAAGCCGGAAGGCUUCGGCCGACCGGUUCAGCCUGCGGCUUCCAACCGCCCAAGGUGUCGGGCUA